RNAcentral lists this ribosomal RNA (254 nucleotides) under uncultured bacterium. RNAcentral describes it as "partial 16S ribosomal RNA". It matches the Rfam family "Bacterial small subunit ribosomal RNA", at positions 524 to 776 of the family's 1533-position model. The record is from RNAcentral.
UACAGAGGUCUCAAGCGUUGUUCGGAUUCAUUGGGCGUAAAGGGUGCGUAGGCGGCGCGGUAAGUCGGGUGUGAAAUCUCGGAGCUUAACUCCGAAACUGCAUUCGAUACUGCCGUGCUUGAGGACUGGAGAGGAGACUGGAAUUUACGGUGUAGCGGUGAAAUGCGUAGAUAUCGUAAGGAAGACCAGUGGCGAAGGCGGCCGGGCUGGGGGUGACCUGACGCUGAGGCGCGAAAGCGUGGGUAGCAAACAGG